UCCAUUCUAUCCCCUCACAUUCCCACAUACACAACCCACACUGCCUCCCAUAAUCCCUAGAAAACGUUUCCAUUCCACCGCCUUCCCCACUUUAUUUCUCUGUCUCUCUCUUCUCAAGCUCCACCACCAUUACCAGUUUACCACCACCCACAAAAAUCUCCAAAACCCCGAAUCCCACAAAAGUUUUACAGAUUCAUCUUUCCACCACCUCCCCCCCUUUAUUUCUCUCUGUCUCUCUCUUCUGAAGCUCCACCACCGUUACCAGUUUACCACCACCUACAAAAAUUUCCAAAACCCCGAAUCACACAAAAUUUUUACAGAUUCAUCUUACUUCCAAAUUUGCUCCAAUUCUUCUUGUUGUACUCCCAAUCUGAAGAUUAUGAUCAAUCCCAACGAAAUUACGAGUCUUACAAUAACAACCCUCAAGAAACCUCAACUAAUUAUGAUGGGUUGCACUAGCAGAAGUGAUGGAAUGAGGAUGGCAACCGGUGGGAGAAAGAAGAAAUCAUGUGGGUGAUUUUGUUGUCUGACUCGCGAGUUGACUCGGCCAAACUCGGUAAGUUUUACUGAUUUCUUAUUGAUUUGAGUUGACUCGGUAAAUAUCGACCGAGUCAAUCCGAGUCAACUCGGAUUCCGGUGAAACGGCGAUGCGGGUGUCGGUAUCGUACCGGUGAGCCCCGUUCCCGUUAUGACUCGGCCGAGUCAACUCGGACUCGGCCGAUUUGGCGAACCAUACUGCAUGGUAUUUGAGAAGCCAUCCUGAUUGUAGCCUAAACUAGUGGUUGAGGAUGUUGAGAAGGGAAACUCUGGUUUUCAGCAAAAGCCUAAACACAAUUGCAAGUGCCUCCGCCAAUUCCUCAAUGCUUGAAUCUACUGCCUCAAGUUUUUUGAGUACAUCUUUGUUUGACUGCUUGUUGUUCAACAAAUCCAACUUGAUUUCUAUUUGUCAAUUGCUCCAAUAUCAGAGUAUCCCCUGACUGAUGCUCUUUUCUGCUGCAAUAACUUUGAGACCAAGGACCAACCUCUUGGUUGUGAUCCUGCCUUAGAUCCAGAAAGGAAAGAUAGAACAGACUCCAACACCAGAACACCAACAACUUGAACAUCUUUGAUCAAGUUAACCAUAUCAUAUAUGAGUUGACUUCACUGUCCACACUUCCAGUUGUUUUUCUCGGUAAAGAUGAUUCAAGUACCUGCACACUUCCUUUGUCUCUAAAUAGAUGUCUCUUACUGCACCACAAAUGUCCAACAGCCUGACACAUCCAUCCAAGACCUGUUCUUCCCAUUUUGCCAGUCUUUCAUCAGAGAGAGCUUGUUAACUGAAAGGAAGCUGAACCACAUCAUCCAGACACUAAGACAAGUUGAGGCCAUCCAAUAUUUGGCCUGCCAAUGAAUGUGAAGUUGAGGAUGGCAUCUCUGAUGACUUCAAUCUUUACAGGUGUUUCUCAGCAGUCACGAUAAGAGGGUGAGAUGAAGGAGGCAAACUAACCAAACGAGAAUGGCUAGAGAAUUUUGGAUUUGGAGAAUUUUGGAUUUUGGAUUUAGAGAAUGGCUAAACUGAACUGCCGUCGGUCAAGAUUCCUUUUGCUUUCCAGAUCGUGCAGGAGUUAGCCUAUUGUGGCAUUCGUGUUCAUCAACUUCAAGAACUAUGAUAAAGAGAUGGACCAAUUGUUGUCUCAACUUUGGGAGCUAGAGUUGAUGCGAAAGAGAUGAGUCGAUUCAUUCUUCAGACUUCCUUCUGCAGCAAAUAUUGCGUAUUCUCUAGCAACUAUUAAAGCAACUUGGCAUAUGCAAUCAAAUGCUUCACCAUCUAAAGUUCUCAUCCAAUGACUGCAAGCAGUGAGCAUCAUCCCUCUAAGAGACGCAGGAUGUAUUGUGUUCGUCCAAGUAUGUAUUGCGUUCUGUAACCAACAUAAUUUGAUUAUGACAAGGAGGCGAGGUUGAAGUUGAACUUGUGCUCUAGCAGCAGUAUAUGCAGCAGCAUUUACAUUUGAUGGUGCCAGUAAAGAAGCAAAACAGAAGGAACAAUCUUCGCGAAAGGAACAAGAAUCAAUAGGACUAGGAUGCAAACAAACCAAGCAAUGCAUAAGGUGUCUGGUCCCCAGCUUGACCUGAGUUCAGGAUUGUCUGUGAGCUCAAUCUGGUUAAACAGCUAAACGACUCCAGCUUGAGUCUUUUUGUUUUUUCUCAAGAAGCUGUUGAGUUUAAUGAGUACGUAAUUCUCUAAUUUGUUUUGGAAAACACAAAUAUGUGUCAAGCAACUAGAGCUCAUUAUUUUGUUGAGCUUAUUCCAGUCAAA
This is a non-coding RNA of Coffea arabica (coffee), 2296 nucleotides long. The record is from RefSeq and is a predicted model, not a curated record. NCBI's taxonomy places the organism in Eukaryota, Viridiplantae, Streptophyta, Magnoliopsida, Gentianales, Rubiaceae.